GGGUGGGUGGUUAGGGCUGGGAAACAGGUAGGAGGAGGCAUUAGUUUCCUCCCCUCUUGUCCCUUACUUUUUCCCCUGUUGGCCUCACCUAAAAGAGUGGAGAGAGAUGAGAAGUCUUCUGUCCGUCACUGCCAACGAAAGAGAAAGAAAGUGGCAUGGUCAGCAUGUACAAGUGGAAAAGAAGUGUGUCAUUUGCGGGCUUUGGAUGGAUUGACAAGUCCGGCAUUGCCACCCUGAGAGCCCGAAAUGGAAGGACGGAGAGGGAGAAACAGAAAUAGAGAGACCGAGAGGGAGAGAGCAGUGUAUUUUGGAAGCACCUCUCACCGCUUAAGAUGCCUCGCAAAAUCUGGUGAGUUUUUCUGGGAUUCUUUUAUGGUUUUCCACAGGUUUCUGCUGAGUUUUGAGUAUUUUGUGUUGCAUUUGAAUUUUUUGCACUUGUGCAAUUCAGCGUGUUUU
This is a long non-coding RNA of Carassius auratus (goldfish), 456 nucleotides long. RefSeq lists it as uncharacterized. NCBI's taxonomy places the organism in Eukaryota, Metazoa, Chordata, Actinopteri, Cypriniformes, Cyprinidae. The transcript is spliced from 3 exons. The record is from RefSeq and is a predicted model, not a curated record.